CCUACGGGUGGCAGCAGUGGGGAAUAUUGGACAAUGGGGGAAACCCUGAUCCAGCGACGCCGCGUGACUGAAGAAGUAUUUCGGUAUGUAAAGGUCUAUCAGCAGGGAAGAAAAUGACGGUACCUGACUAAGAAGCCCCGGCUAACUACGUGCCAGCAGCCGCGGUAAUACGUAGGGGGCAAGCGUUAUCCGGAUUUACUGGGUGUAAAGGGAGCGUAGACGGUUCUGCAAGUCUGGAGUGAAAGCCCGGGGCUCAACCCCGGGACUGCUUUGGAAACUGUGGAACUGGAGUGCAGGAGAGGUAAGUGGAAUUCCUAGUGUAGCGGUGAAAUGCGUAGAUAUUAGGAGGAACACCAGUGGCGAAGGCGGCUUACUGGACUGUAACUGACGUUGAGGCUCGAAAGCGUGGGGAGCAAACAGGAUUAGAUACCCCUGUAG
This 438-nucleotide ribosomal RNA is filed under the name uncultured Lacrimispora sp. RNAcentral describes it as "bacterial SSU rRNA". It matches the Rfam family "Bacterial small subunit ribosomal RNA", at positions 338 to 793 of the family's 1533-position model. Lineage: Bacteria; Bacillati; Bacillota; Clostridia; Lachnospirales; Lachnospiraceae. The record is from RNAcentral.